GUUGAUCAUGGCUCAGGAUGAACGCUAGCGACAGGCUUAACACAUGCAAGUCGAGGGGCAUCACGGGAGUAGCAAUACAACUGGUGGCGACCGGCGCACGGGUGAGUAACGCGUAUGCAACCUACCUAUCAGAGGGAAUAACCCGGCGAAAGUCGGACUAAUACCGCAUAAAACAGGGGCACCGCAUGGUGAUAUUUGUUAAAGAAAUUCGCUGAUAGAUGGGCAUGCGUUCCAUUAGGUAGUUGGUGAGGUAACGGCUCACCAAGCCGACGAUGGAUAGGGGAACUGAGAGGUUGGUCCCCCACACUGGUACUGAGACACGGACCAGACUCCUACGGGAGGCAGCAGUGAGGAAUAUUGGUCAAUGGGCGGGAGCCUGAACCAGCCAAGUCGCGUGAAGGAAAGAAGGAUCUAUGGUUCGUAAACUUCUUUUGCAGGGGAAUAAAGUGCAGGACGUGUCCUGUUUUGUAUGUACCCUGAGAAUAAGGAUCGGCUAACUCCGUGCCAGCAGCAGC
RNAcentral lists this ribosomal RNA (515 nucleotides) under uncultured bacterium. RNAcentral describes it as "bacterial SSU rRNA". It matches the Rfam family "Bacterial small subunit ribosomal RNA", at positions 11 to 518 of the family's 1533-position model. The record is from RNAcentral.